RNAcentral lists this ribosomal RNA (253 nucleotides) under uncultured bacterium. RNAcentral describes it as "partial 16S ribosomal RNA". It matches the Rfam family "Bacterial small subunit ribosomal RNA", at positions 524 to 776 of the family's 1533-position model. The record is from RNAcentral.
UACAGAGGUGGCAAGCGUUGUUCGGAAUUACUGGGCGUAAAGGGCGCGUAGGCGGCCUUCUAAGUCAGACGUGAAAUCCCCCGGCUUAACCUGGGAACUGCGUCUGAUACUGGAAGGCUUGAAUGCGGGAGAGGGAUGUAGAAUUCCAGGUGUAGCGGUGAAAUGCGUAGAUAUUAGGAAGAACACCGGUGGCGAAGGCGGCCCACUGGAUCGGUACUGACGCUGAGGUGCGAAAGCGUGGGGAGCAAACAGG